AAUCAACGCUGGCGGCGUGCCUCAGACAUGCAAGUCGAACGCGAAAGUCCCCUUCGGGGACGAAGUAGAGUGGCGCACGGGUGAGUAACACGUAGGUAAUCUACCUUCGGAUGGGGAAGUAACAAUCGGAAACGGUUGCUAAUACCGCAUAAUGCAGCGGCACCUAAUGGUGACAGUUGUUAAAGCGGGGGAGUCGAGAGACCUCGCGUCUGAAGAGGAGCCUGCGGCGGAUUAGCUAGUUGGUAAGGUAACGGCUUACCAAGGCGACGAUCCGUAGCGGCCUGAGAGGGCGGUCGGCCACACUGACACUGACAUACGGGUCAGACUCCUACGGGAGGCAGCAGUCGGGAA
This 351-nucleotide ribosomal RNA is filed under the name uncultured bacterium. RNAcentral describes it as "bacterial SSU rRNA". It matches the Rfam family "Bacterial small subunit ribosomal RNA", at positions 32 to 361 of the family's 1533-position model. The record is from RNAcentral.